CGUAGGUGAACCUGCGGAAGGAUCAUUGUCGGUGACCCGUGAAAAAACGACCGGAGCACACGUGAUAGAACACUGCCGGAGCGGCGGCGCCGCACCGGCCAACCGGCCACUGUCCUCGCGCCCUCCGGCGCGUCGGCUGCGGGCUGAUCACGGCGUCGGCUGACGCCAAGUAACACGCGAUGCGGAGGCGGCGGCGGCUCGCUGGAGCGUGCCGCCCGCUGCCGACGCGAAGGAAAUUAACAUGACUCUCGGCAACGGAUAUCUCGGCUCUCGCAUCGAUGAAGAACGUAGCGAAAUGCGAUACGUGGUGUGAAUUGCAGAAUCCCGCGAACCAUCGAGUUUUUG
RNAcentral lists this unclassified non-coding RNA (345 nucleotides) under Scleria balansae. RNAcentral describes it as "sequence contains ITS1, 5.8S rRNA gene, ITS2". The stretch from base 244 to 345 matches the Rfam family "5.8S ribosomal RNA", at positions 1 to 102 of the family's 154-position model. Lineage: Eukaryota; Viridiplantae; Streptophyta; Magnoliopsida; Poales; Cyperaceae. The record is from RNAcentral.